Rhipicephalus microplus (southern cattle tick) is the source of this 213-nucleotide long non-coding RNA. Lineage: Eukaryota; Metazoa; Arthropoda; Arachnida; Ixodida; Ixodidae. The record is from RefSeq and is a predicted model, not a curated record.
UCCGAUGCUUCACCGAAGCUCUACGGCGACGGUUGUACCCAGUUGAUUUUAGCCCACCGUGCCUAUUUAUUCCCAGUAGGCCAUCGCAGACUUCCAUCCUUGCGACGUCCACGAACCGGAGCGGACGCAGCGACUUACCAUUAACAACAAUGACUUAUUUACGUCUGUGCGCCACGGUGAUCUUCUGCGCGUCACUUCUUGCGCUUUUGAUAG